Molecule: ribosomal RNA, 250 nt
Filed under: uncultured bacterium
Lineage: Bacteria
Description: partial 16S ribosomal RNA
Rfam family: Bacterial small subunit ribosomal RNA
Source: RNAcentral
UACAGAGAGUGCGAACGUUGUUCGGAAUCACUGGGCAUAAAGCGCACGUAGGCUGCGCCGCAAGUGCGGGUGAAAUCCCACGGCUUACCCGUGGAACUGCCUUGCAGACUGUGGUGCUAGAGGAUGGUAGGGGAGAGCGGAACUCCUGGUGGAGCGGUGAAAUGCGUAGAGAUCAGGAGGAACACCGGUGGCGAAGGCGGCUCUCUGGUCCAUUUCUGACGCUGAGGUGCGAAAGCUAGGGGGAGCAAAC